Salarias fasciatus (jewelled blenny) is the source of this 384-nucleotide long non-coding RNA. RefSeq lists it as uncharacterized. The record is from RefSeq and is a predicted model, not a curated record. The transcript is spliced from 4 exons. NCBI's taxonomy places the organism in Eukaryota, Metazoa, Chordata, Actinopteri, Blenniiformes, Blenniidae.
CUGACUUUGCUUGCCACUUCAGCUUUAAACCAUGGGGUUUUCAUUAAGAUGGUUGCUGUUAUCUUUGCUGGCUGUUGGAGGACAUCAAACAAAUGUCUUCAGAAUGAGAUCUGUUCACCAACAUGGAGAUGUGCCAGAUACAAGUAGCUCUGACUCUGAUGGUGUGCCAUCUGGACCCACUCACCUGGUUUAUUCAUCCCAAGGUGAAAUUACGCCAAAGACACACCAGCAUGUGCCAGUGCUGCACCAGAAUGUAUCGAUGCAUCAGCAUGUGCCACCACACCACUACCAUAAACAGGUGCCACCACAUCUUCAUGUGCCACAUCGACAGUACCAGCAACACCAUGUGGGAGAUGACCAUGGACCAUACCACCAGCACCACCA